This 71-nucleotide transfer RNA is filed under the name Salmo salar (Atlantic salmon). It matches the Rfam family "tRNA". Rfam says of the family: Transfer RNA (tRNA) molecules are approximately 80 nucleotides in length. Their secondary structure includes four short double-helical elements and three loops (D, anti-codon, and T loops). Further hydrogen bonds mediate the characteristic L-shaped molecular structure. tRNAs have two regions of fundamental functional importance: the anti-codon, which is responsible for specific mRNA codon recognition, and the 3' end, to which the tRNAs corresponding amino acid is attached (by aminoacyl-tRNA synthetases). tRNAs cope with the degeneracy of the genetic code in two manners: having more than one tRNA (with a specific anti-codon) for a particular amino acid; and 'wobble' base-pairing, i.e. permitting non-standard base-pairing at the 3rd anti-codon position. The record is from Rfam by way of RNAcentral. Lineage: Eukaryota; Metazoa; Chordata; Actinopteri; Salmoniformes; Salmonidae.
UCCCGUGUGGCUCAGUUGGUAGAGCAUGGUGUUUGCAACGCCAGGGUUGUGGGUUCGAUUCCCCGGGGGAU